Molecule: long non-coding RNA, 1246 nt
Organism: Salvia miltiorrhiza (redroot sage)
Lineage: Eukaryota; Viridiplantae; Streptophyta; Magnoliopsida; Lamiales; Lamiaceae
Exons: 2
Source: RefSeq, a predicted model, not a curated record
CCAAAUAAUUCAUUUAAAUUUUUGUUUUUCAUAUUUAAAUUAUUUUGAAGCAUUUCAUAUUUAAAUUGUGAGGUUAUUUAAAAUUUUAGUCUAUGUCAUGAAUUAUCUAAUCGCGCCCCUAGUUAGAUGUGACUUUGAACUAUAAAUUAUAUCUAUAGAAAUAGAAAUUUAUUUUUCCAAAUAUUCUUUUAAUAUGAAUUUGGGCCUUAGAUAAAAUAUUUAUAUAAUUUUACGUGUUGGGCCUGAUUGAAUUCAACAUGAUUCUUCAGAUCCAUAAAUAUUUUCAUAUAUCAUCUCACAAAUUUAUUGAUACUCCAGCCACGUAAUAUGUCCAUACACGUUUCAUUUCCAGAAUUUAUUUAGCAUAUAUUUUUGCUAUUUGACUUUAUCCAGCCCAUUUUUUUCUAUGAGAUUAGCCAAAUCAAAUUCAGCUUCAAACUCCCAUUAUUCAUUCAACGCUUUCACCAUUUCACUUUCCGUAAGAUUUGAUUUUUUUCUUCACAGGCAGCAAAUUUUUGAUUUCUUUCACAUUCAAAUCUUUGACGAAAUCAAUCUAUUUAAACCUCAAUUCCUCAUCCCCAACUCACCUCUUCAUCUGUUCAUUUAACUAAAAUCUGCAGAUUCUCCCUACGAAUCCCAGCUGGUGCGGCGCGAUUAGGACGUGAACUUUAAAUUAUCGCAGUUAACUUUCAAAGCUCAAGUUACAGGUGUGGGAUUUAUUUCAGUACAUGCACGUGGUUAAUAUUUGUCCAUUUUAAUAUUAUGUGUUUACCGUAUGUGUUGUAAAAAUAUUUAUCGCUAGGGGCCAGCAUAAUUGGUCCAGGACUUCACCGUCCUUGGUAUGCCACAAUGCGAUUUCAUGUUACAGGGUUGCAACCAUUAUAUUGUCGCCAGGGGCCCAUAUAUAGGGUCCGGGACAUUAAAGUCCUUGGAUUGCCACAGUGCGUAUGGAAUUUAUGUUACGUUAUGACAAUAUGUGUUACCAUUUUAUUAACAUGGACAACUAUUGCAUGUUUCCACACUGAGUGUACCAUGUAUGCUCAUCCCAUAUUCAACAGUUUCAGGUGAAUGAUAUUGGAGGCGUGGAGAGUCGAAUGGGCGCGUCGCAUCUAUUUAAAAAUAAAUGUUUCUUAAAACAUAUUAUGUUAUUUCAUGUGAUAUCUUUUGGAUAUGUAAACUCUGAAAUUCUAUACUAUUUGAGAUUUGUGUGUGAUUUGUUUAAAUAAAUGUUGUUAUAUUAUUUUAA